This 70-nucleotide transfer RNA is filed under the name Marmota monax (woodchuck). RNAcentral describes it as "tRNA.Ala". Lineage: Eukaryota; Metazoa; Chordata; Mammalia; Rodentia; Sciuridae. The record is from RNAcentral.
GGGCUGGGGCUCAGUGGUAGAGUGCUUGCCUAGCAUGUGUGAGGCACUGGGUUCAAUCCUCAGCACCACA